AGAGUUUGAUCCUGGCUCAGGACGAACGCUGGCGGCGUGCUUAACACAUGCAAGUCGAACGGACAGACAGAGAGCUUGCUCUCUUGAAGUUAGUGGCGAACGGGUGAGUAACGCGUAAUCAACCUGCCCUUCAGAGGGGGAUAACAACGGGAAACCGUUGCUAAUACCGCGUACGAUUCAUAGGCGGCAUCGCUUGUGAAUGAAAGGUGGCCUCUAUAUAUAAGCUAUCGCUGAAGGAGGGGAUUGCGUCUGAUUAGCUAGUUGGAGGGGUAACGGCCCACCAAGGCAAUGAUCAGUAGCCGGUCUGAGAGGAUGAACGGCCACAUUGGGACUGAGACACGGCCCAAACUCCUACGGGAGGCAGCAGUGGGGAAUCUUCCGCAAUGGACGAAAGUCUGACGGAGCAACGCCGCGUGAGUGAUGAAGGUCUUCGGAUUGUAAAGCUCUGUUAAUCGGGACGAAAGAGUUCUGCGUGAAUAAUGCAGAAAAGUGACGGUACCGGAAUAGAAAGCCACGGCUAACUACGUGCCAGCAGCCGCGGUAAUACGUAGGUGGCAAGCGUUGUCCGGAAUUAUUGGGCGUAAAGCGCGCGCAGGCGGCCUAUCCAGUCUGUCUUAAAAGUUCGGGGCUCAACCCCGUGAUGGGAUGGAAACUAGUAGGCUAGAGUAUCGGAGAGGAAAGCGGAAUUCCUAGUGUAGCGG
RNAcentral lists this ribosomal RNA (701 nucleotides) under uncultured bacterium. RNAcentral's name for it is "bacterial SSU rRNA". It matches the Rfam family "Bacterial small subunit ribosomal RNA", at positions 8 to 681 of the family's 1533-position model. The record is from RNAcentral.